GCCAGGCACACAUGGACGUGGCUUUGUCAGGUUCGCUUGUUCCUGUGACUUCAAUUGCCAGUGACAGCACAGCUUCAGAUUCAAGUAGUCCUUUGGCUACUGCAGAACCCGAAGAGCCCCUUCACUUGCCCACCAGUAACAGUGGCAAUCACUUCAUCACCAAAGAUGUUUCUAAUGGUAACCACUAUCUUUAA
Rhipicephalus microplus (southern cattle tick) is the source of this 194-nucleotide long non-coding RNA. Lineage: Eukaryota; Metazoa; Arthropoda; Arachnida; Ixodida; Ixodidae. The record is from RefSeq and is a predicted model, not a curated record.